RNAcentral lists this ribosomal RNA (458 nucleotides) under uncultured bacterium. RNAcentral describes it as "partial 16S ribosomal RNA". It matches the Rfam family "Bacterial small subunit ribosomal RNA", at positions 338 to 794 of the family's 1533-position model. The record is from RNAcentral.
CCUACGGGGGACAGCAGUGAGGAAUAUUGGUCAAUGGGCGAAGGCCUGAACCAGCCAAGUCGCGUGAGGGAAGACUGCCCUAUGGGUUGUAAACCUCUUUUAUAAGGGAAGAAUAAUGACUACGUGAAGUCAGAUGCCCGUACCUUAUGAAUAAGCAUCGGGUAACUCCGUGAAAGCAGCCGGGGUAAUACGGAGGAUGCGAGCGUUAUCCGUGUGUAGUGGGUUUAAAGGGUGCGUAGGCGGUAUUUUAAGUUAGUGGUAAAACGUCGGGGCUUCACGAUGAUUGGCAAUUAAAACUGGAUUACUAGAGUACAGACGAGGUAGGCGGAAUAAGUUAAGUAGCGGUGAAAUGCUUAGAUAUAACUUAGAACCUCGAUAGCGAAGGCAGCUUACCAGACUGUUACUGACGCUGAAGCACGAGAGCUUGGGUAGCGAACAGGAUUAGAUACCCCGGUAGC